Molecule: long non-coding RNA, 12291 nt
Filed under: Physcomitrium patens
Lineage: Eukaryota; Viridiplantae; Streptophyta; Bryopsida; Funariales; Funariaceae
Description: long non-coding RNA (PPAT_LNC006114)
Source: RNAcentral
GGAAGAAGGAAAGGUAGAGGAAAUACCGAUGAUAAUAUUAACAGGCAAGGCGGAGGCUCCGAGAAAAAUGGAGAUGAGGACAUCAAACAAGAGUCCAGCGAUGAGAAUCAGCAGCGCCGCCCAAAGAGGAUGGAAUCGAGCCUAAGCCCCCCCCCAUACAACGUUUACCCCAUCACUACACUCGAUCUCAAGAACAAAUGACUUACCGAAAAAGAAGCCAAUCGGCAUUGCAGCAUAACCGAUCGUAGAUGUGUUGAAGGCAUCCACGAAGAGGUAGGUCAUAAAUGCAAGCAACGAUAUCCACAUAACUGGAAUGAAAGGAUGCUUCUUCAUUAUCACGAGCAGCACGGGCCCAUUCACUAUGAGGCUGCUCUGAAACCCUACCCUGCGUAUCCCCCCAUUCGACGUCUGCGAUUGCCCUGCUGCAUUCGUUCCUCCGAGCCGCCAUACCCAGAAAUGCGGCUGCAGCGGAGACAGCUAAUUUUCAGCAAUGCAUUUCCUUGACGAAUCAUACGCAACCAUAACAAAACAAAACAAAGAACGAAUAACAAAUCCAAAAAAUCAAAACUAUAAUGAUACUCAUUCUGAACGUAAUCCAUUUCACUUUCACUUAACAUGAGGUUGGCAUACCACGGGGGCUGUCGCUGGAGCUGGAAUGUUCGAAGCUACAUGCCUGAAGGAAGACGAAACAAGAUCACAAUUGACAUGGAUGAUUAGAAUUCGUCCGUAACUCACACAAGUGAGCAAUUCUGAUCACCCUAAAUGCGCUUUAAAAUCUGAGAGAAUGAGAGCUGCAUGUGCCACCUAUCUUGCGCACCGGCCCGUACGAAACUCAUUGUCGAAACCUAGAGGAAGAGAACGGCGAUACAAAGCAAAUCUUUAAAGAGCGUGGGAAGAUGUGCAGACUUACUGACAAACUUCGCAUUUGUUCGUUCCUUUGUUCUUAAACCACACCUCAAUGCACGACUUGUGCGAUUUGGCCAUCUCCCCUCGACAUGAGCACCCCAAAUCGAUGAGAGGCUCCUCCGUAUGCUGUUGACAAAUUCUGACGACAAGAAAAAGAAAUUGAUGAGGAUGCCAAUCGACUAUAUGUUAAUUUCGAAACUGAUGUUUCGAUCCGCAUCGAGUCUCUCAAAACUCGGGGAAAAAGGACGAGAAUUGCUACCUGCAAUAUUCAGCCGCGCUGUCCGUGCUCCAGGAGCUAAUAGUUCGCCCUGGCCCGAAAGUGAGGACCCCUUUGAGCAAAUUCUCUAACUCCACCGCGCUGCCGUGUUGCACAUCUGAAACGUCUACGGUGGAGUGGUAAUUUGGCUGAGAAUUGCUGUCCACGGCAACAACGGCAUCACUGCUCGUCCUUGAAAUUCUCGGGAGCUCAGUUUGGCUUUGAUCGUUACCAAGCUGAGUAGAAACCGGAAGGAAUGUGAAUUGGGGCUGAAUCGCCGAAGCAUUCUCCCCGCUUUGACCCACAGUUUGCAUUGUGGCAUCGUGAGAAUCGUUCACGUCAUUAGCGCUUCCACUGAGAUCAACACAGUGAAAAUCUGAUGGUUUCUCGCCAGGUUCAUACUGCUCCUGUGGAGUGGCAGGGGAAUUUUCCCCCUGCUCGUAGCCUUCCUUCCAAGACCUGUCUUCAGGAACUUGACCUAUUACAAAAGCUCUCCCUCGCUCCUCCCUCUCAUGUUGUGACGACCCGAUUAGGACACUGACGCUCAAGGAGGUUUGUCCGUCUUCCGACCGGCGAACAGGCUGUUGAAGAGGGCUAGCCAUUGCGACACGCUGCUUUGAGGCAAAUAGAGAGGAAUCAACUGAGCGUGCUGGCCGCAGCGACAAGUUCUCGGUUGACUCCUCGUCGCUGCUUAGCGCCUUAGGUCCCUUUAUGAGGGAAUUAAACCGCCGCAGCAUCUUGUCAAUUUAAGUUAGUAUGAAACUAUGCGGCCACAAUCUGCAAAGUGCAUGUGUUCAAUUCAGCCCAACAGUGUUGCUCACUAUAAGUAAGACUUGCAACGGUUGCACAAAAGCUCUUUUUGUCAACACAACCACCUACAAACCAGAAUCCUCAACGCCCUCGGAUGCAGCCACAUGUCUAUUUGGUCUCAAUUGAGUCACCGAAAAGAAUAAACGUGAAUAUCCGUUUCUAAGUCUCACCUGUCAAUGAAGCAAGGGUACUAAUUACUCGAAUUUAACAACCACUGGUGAACAAGACCAGCCAUGGUCCCGCAAAGGAAUAAUAAACAAUUGUUAAAAAAAUCGCAACUCCGACUUGAAUUCCGUAUUCCUCCCCACUCUCGUCCGCGAUAACGCCCACCAGACAAAAAGACCCCACAAUCGGUCGGACCCUGAAACCACCGGUCGGAUCUCACACAAAGACAACCCAAAAUUCCGAAGCCAGUCCCCGCAUCCUCCUCUCCGAAUCACACAACCAUCCACAUUCACCUCCGCUUCAGCUGUCACCCGACAGGUUACAAAUCACGCCGCGAUGACGCCAAAGCACCCAAUCUCUGCAUAGAAAUGAACAAAAACUGCGCAGCAACGUGCAACAUCAUCUCCUCCGUCCGAAAUCACCAAACACCAUGAGCCGCACCCCCAACAGUAACCGUGAAAUCCUCGACUCGCUGAACAAAAAACCGUGACGCAAAUUUUCAGCGAGUGGCCGAGAGUCGGUCUAAAAAAUAAAAAUAAAAAUAAAAUCCGAUCGACAAAGAUCGACAAAUCGACAACGAAAAAUACGUGGUGGAGAGGAUCCAGCGAUGGGGGCGCAGCUUGGGUUUGAGCAACGCCCAGUGGGACGAAGCGAGAGAAUGGGGAAUCGAAAUCCAAAAAGAAAAAUUGGUUCUCAAGGUGGAGCAGGAGGCGAGGCUGCGCGCAGCUCCAAAGUGACAGCCAGCACAAAGUGUGCGGCGCAACGUGGAAACGACGGGAGGCGUGACACUUUUAGCCCACGUUCAUGCACACGUGGCUUCCGCCUCCGUCUCUCGGACUGCGACCAACUCCCGCGCCUCCGCGGGCCAGGUCCGGCCCCGCCCGCUCGCGGUCAAAGGACGCGGUCGGGGGCCCGCGGGCACCAUAGCCACAUACUGCCCGUAACGUCUUGUGGAACCCAUCUCCGCUUCGCUGCGUGGCUCCCCCGUUAUUCGUUAUUCGUCAUUCUCUUUAGGUCCCUUUUUAAUUUACUUAAGCUUGUGUUGCUUUGCGAGGAUUGUGUGGAUGAUUCUGCGAGCACUAGAAUUGACAAGGCUGAUUUCUAUGAUUACGUUUCGGAUUUUUUUAUUUAGAAAUUGAGAAUUUUACUAGUUGAAUUUGUUCUUUCAAUGAAUACAUGUGCAAAUAUUAUUCACACACAUGAACAACCCAUGCAUUUGCGCACUAGUCUUUUCAUGAUACGAUGUCUUGAUUUCAAGCUGAAUUGCUGCUGUUUUGUUGUUUAAGUUGUUUUGGAACUGUUUUAGAAAUAUGGGCAACAAUAAUUUCUAGCUUUUUGAUGUGAUGUGAUGUGAUGUUUUGAUCAUUGACUUUCCAAUAAAGUUGUCUAAUGGGAAUGUUGACUCUAGAUAAAAUGAAACUCUUGUGUGUUUGUGCCAUGUGUAAGUGUGUAGAGAAGGAGAUAAAUGUAUAUGUAUACCUUAUUACUUAAAAUAAUUUCCUGAAAUUCAUAUUUGAAAGGAUAAAGUUUUUGUUAUAUAUAUAUAUAUAUAUAUAUAUAUUCAAAAGCAAUGCAUUCUAAAUGUUAAAACAUGGUUUCUAGUAAGUGACAUGAGCUUUUAUUAUUUGAUAAAAUAACCCAUAAAUAUUUUUGUUGUUUUCUUUUUGAAUAAUUUUGAAUAUUUUUGAUAAAAAAAAUAUGAUGAAGAUUAAUAAAGUUAUUUAGACAUAGCAAAAAUAUGUGUAUUGUAGCAUCUAUGUCUGCAUUAAAAAAGUAGUGACAAAAUUUUGUAAUAUUGAAGAUGAAAUUUGGUAUUAUUGCUGAUAUGAUUCUUAUUCAAACUUCUCAAAUUUUUGCUAUUUAAAACCAGUAAUAAAUGGAAUAUAUAUAUAUGAAAAAAUCAUUUCAAAGGUGACUUAAGAAAUAGUAAUUUUGGAAGAGAAUACUGAACCCUGUGGUAUCAAUUUGAUGUUUGAUUUUGAACAUAGAUUUAAAUAGAUCUAUAUAUAUAUAUAUAUAUAUAAUCUUUCAACAAAUGUAUGUAUAAAAUUUCAAAAAUAAAUAAAUAAAUAAAUGUAAACAAAUAACACAAAAUUUUCAUCAUGAUAAAGACUUGCACCUAAAAGUAAUUUGCAACUUAUAUGAAUGGCAUAUAAAUGACUAAUGUUCAAAAAGCAUUAUUUUAGGUUUGAUCAAAAGUCCAAAUAUAAGUAUACACCAGUGUCAUUCCCUAAACAAUUACAAUAUUCAUGUUUACAUUUAAUAUUUUUAUACAAAAGUGUAUUAAACCAAAAGCAAAAAAUCAAAAGAAGAUUAUUUAAACACUGCACACACAUGUUUCAUAAGACCUUGUUCCAUGUGCAAAAUUAGAAAUAAAAUGACAGAAAGAACAAAGAAACAAAAUACCACCACCAUGAACACAAACAAGCAUGAACAAAUGCAACAAUAUACAUAUAUAUAUAUAUAUAUAUAUAUUCCACUUUCUAUGUGCUGUAAGAGUCAUCUUGUGAGCGGUGGGGACAAAAGCUCUGGAGGGGGGAGGACAUUAUCAGUAGAUUAUGUGGAACCAAAGGUACCCAUCAAAGAGAACAUGGUUAUUUAUUUGUUGUUCUCUCUCCAUCACAAUAAUGUCCAGAAUGGGAACCAGUGUGCCAAUAUGGACUAUGCUCAAGUUUCAUGAAGAAGGCCAAUGCAAGUGGAUUGAUAUCCUUGCUUACAAGGGGUAGCGUAGGGCAGGGUACCAACCCCUGUCAGGGUAUCUCCCAAGCCAGCAGCACAGGAAGUAUGAUGCAAAGGGGCAACAUGACAAUUCCAUCACUCUUUUUGGGUUCUCAAAGACCCUGGCCAACCACUUGAGUCACCUUCAAUACAUGACAAGGGGGUACUUCCACUAAAAGGCAUGGAUGACUACUCAUCGCCAAACAGGCCCCAUUCCACCACAGAAAAUAUGGCACUCAACACUGACUGACUUGGACCCUCAGAAUCCCAUUCCAGCUCUAGAGGGAGAGCAAAGGCUUCCAGACCCAAAAUGCUUGACCUUAUUUUACACAGUCUCGGGAAUUCCAGCUGUGAUUGGUUUCUGUUUUUUUCAGUUUUACUUCUUUUGGCAAAUGUAAGAGGACUUUACUGUGCCCCAGAUUCUGUUCUCCUAUAGAUGUGAUAUAACUACCAUGGACUUCAAAGGAAACCUUUUUGUUGAGGUAUAUUAAUCUGUUUUAGAAAUAAAUUCAGCAACUAUUUGAACAAUGCUCAUGAUUGUGAUACUAUGUGUGCCUUGAUAUGCUUAGUUUCAAUUUUUCCACUUCCUUGGGUUUCAUGGUUUUGGGAUACAUGUUUGGUUUAGUGUAUUAAGGACAAUUUUUUCCAUAUGAGUAUGAAACAUUGUGUACACUGAGAAAAAUUCCAUAUUAAUAUAAGCCACAUGCUACUUGUGAGGCUGGGGUCUUGGAUACUGCACCCAUACUUUCCAAGGACAAUACUUGGAUAGAGCAAUUAAUAUAAUUAUGAACUUGUAGAUUUGCAAAUAGAUAUGUUGCAAUUGGACAUUCUGCAAAUUGAAUUUUGCCAUGUUGGCAAGCACUCUCAAUAUACAGACAAAAAUAUUGCUAUUUUAUGUAUUUUUUAUAGUUUUGUCAAAGUGAAUAUCAUAACCCACUAUUUCUAAAUGUGCUUAUCCAUAUCAUCUAAAACAUUAAUUUUAUUUCAAAUAAAUUAAAGUAAAGGUCCAUCUCAUUCAACUUGUUUAUGUUUUUGUGUCUCCUGAGUUAUUAUAUAUAUAUCCACACAAUUGCUCAGAAAGUCCUUAAAUUUAAAGGAAAACAUAAGAUGUCACAACUUUAAGCUUUUUGAUUGACUGAAAUGAAGGCGCCUUUGCUGGUCACAUUUAGACCUAGAGAAAUCAGCUCAAAUUUUCUUAGAAGGAAACAUAAAGUAGAUAUCUAUUUUUUCUACAGAACAUGAACAACAUUGUCCCUUAGAAUUUACAGUAAACACUCCUGCAGAAGUAGUUUUUACAAAAAUGUAACAAGCCAUAUCAAAUAUUGCUUAAAAUGACUAUUUAAAAUAAGAAACAAACUUUUUUUUAAUUUAUUGAUAUCACAAUGGGUAUAAUAAGAUAUAAAUUGACAUAUUUAGACUUGUAUUUAAAAACAACGUUGUCCAUUUCAUGACCUCUUUUUUAACUUUAUACUAUUCCCAAACACCAAUAUGUCCAAAAACGAUCUUCUUCACAAACAUGAAACCUUUCUAAUACUUUUUGUACUAUGACUUUUUCAAAAUGAACUUCUGGAUGUAAAGACCUCCUCAAUCCUCUCAAUGGUGAAAAAAACUUACAGCACAAUUCCUCUCAUUGGCUCUCGCAGUCAACGACUUGGCACUCGCCCAUUGGUCGACCCUAAAUUCGCUCUUAAAUAAGUCACCAAUGGCUGCCCGCCAAAUGGCCAUACCUUCAGAUCUAAGCGUGACUGGACCUGCCUCCGUGGCAACCCUGACCACAGACCAAGUUGGUGACGUGACAUGCCUAGUCACCUCGAGAGGCGCGCCAUAACCUAGCUGUCAAUACGUGGUAGGCUUACCCACCUUGAGAGUUCCGACUCAUCGAGAGCCCUGGAUUCCUUAGGCAUUAGUCCAUUGAAUGACGUGGCUUUCGUCGGUAGUUGUGCUGCGAAUGCUUCAUGCACAUUCGUUUGGGUGGAUGAAAUUAUGUCGUCAAGCUUGGUUUUGGGCCCAUUUACCCCCAGCCUACGAUUACUGGGGACAUCCAUUGAGCCCUGAUUAUUGGUAAUAUGGGAUUAGUCACCAAGACUUGGAUUUAGAGUGCAAGUAAGUCUAACUACUAAUCCGCUUCUAAAAAAACCCUUCUCACAAAGGGUUAUAUUGCCCUUUCCCAUCAUACAAUUGUUUUUGCAAGUUGUAGAACUUUUAUUUUGUUUUAUUUUACUUUUUGCUGAUUUGCACUGUUCACUGGAUCACGUAACAUUGACAUUAAAAAAAAAUAGAAUAUCUAAUUUGUGGGUUUGAAUGCUUUAUCGUCAUUCUUAGCCUCAAAUUUCAUAAAUUAUGCUACUUGUGUCAAUUAAUCAACAAUUAAUUAUUCAUUCAUUUUUUUUUUGCAAGUGAAGCUAUUUAAGCAACUUACAAGUACACAAUUCACAAGCUCUUUCUGCAUGUUUCUGCACAUGAUCAACGUUGUGUUGAGUGUUAAUUGUGUGUGCUUAGACUUUUUGUGAUUAUUAUUAUUCUUUGGCAUCACCUGUUAUUGAUUGGUGUUUGGUGGGAUCUAGUUAAACAAUUCAUGAGGUCUGUCAACCUUGACACAUCCUACUUUAAAUUACACACACACACACACACACAUACAUAUAUAUAUAUAUAUAUAUAUAUUCAUAUAUUGAUUCUAUUGCUUAAUCCAAUAAUUAAAAGUUUCAAUUUUUGAAAGCACAAAUAAAGUAGAAUUUGAAAGACAAAUUAAACCAGUCCUCCUUUCUUUCGAUCCUCCAACAAUGUGAAAGGUGUAUCGACAUUUUUCCCGUUACCGACACUUCCGACACAUGCUUGAGUGAACACUCGCUCUCGUCACGAACUACAGCAUCUGGCACACACCACCAUAAAGAAAAGAAAAAAGAAAAAAAAGAACUCUGCGAAUGGAGUAGCCUUGUUUGUCGCACUGGCAUUGCAGAGACGUGCUUCUUCUUGAACAGGGAUGAGAGUUUCCGUGCUGAGUCGCGGUGAUAGACUGCAGCUUGGUCGACAGCAACAAAGCACAAAGCGCCGCAAUGCUCUAAGUCCAUUCUAUCAGUUGCUGGAAAAACACGCCCCCACACAUUCACACACCCACAUGCACAUGCACAAUCAGUUGUCGAUGGAUCUCAAGUUUGAAGUGCAAUGAUCUACGGCAAGGGAGUGAGCGGUGGUGUCUUUUUACUGUGCCCCCACGUCACAGUUCCGUUACUGCGGGUCGUUUACGGAUCUUAUGGUUUGUGGAGUUAUCUUGCGGUUUGUGCGCUGGAAAUCUGUUGUGAUUUUGUGGUAUCUGUCCGUUUUUGUUCCUCGCAUGUUGCUCCGUCAUUCCCGUCCCGUUUGUCGCGACUGAGACUCAUCGUUCCAUCCCAACUCCGUUAGGUAGUUUACUCGAAAUGUGAUUCUCUAGCGUCGUUUGCAUGUUAGAAUCAGAGGAUCGAAGAGGCGCAGAAGCUGACGGGUAACGGGAAUAAUAAACUCUAAAUUGACUUCGUUUCCAUUGCCGAAGUAAUACUAUUCUUAACAUUUAUGUAGGAUGUUAUUUAAAACCAUCGUUGGACCGGAUCUAUCUCCGAAUCCCGGCUCGCAAUCCAUCUCUGAGCCUCAGAAUCAUUAGGACCUGUCAGCUCUGGAAACACACAUCACAUGCAAGAGCAUGUAUAUUCAAGUGCAGCUCACCGCCGUUUGUCCUUAGGUCAAACCACUGGAAACGAAGCGGUCAUAUCAUUCCACGAUCUCAGUGACGGGUCCAAACGUCAUGUUCGUAACAGACGAACUGUUCCUCCUCUUUCUCACAUUCACUGGCCAUCGCAUGAGAAAUCCCAGCUCCUGAAACCCAACAAGAACCUCAGUUCAGUGCAUUCAUAUCGAACUGGUAAGCAGCUAAAAGCAUCAAUCUCCAGUACAGCGAGAAACACUCUGCCGCACGCUGAUGUCAAGUUUGACACAGAUAACGCUCCUCAGAUGUGAACUACGCCGAUCGUCUUGCUUUUCCUGGUGCGGCAGAGCGCUCCGCAGGUCACGACCUCGGCAGGCGUUUCAGAGAUCAACAAGUUGCGGUUCCAGGGGCUGCGUGUGAGUGGUCCGAGAUCGGGAUCGGCGAUCAGUGGUGCUAGAAUCGGAAAAUCGAAGGCGAGUGGUGGAUGAGAAGGCAUCUCGCCGCAGGCAACCUCGGCAUCAUCUUCAAAACCAACGUGGCCUGCUUCUAAUCUUUACGUUUGCAGCGUGCAAACAGCGGCAAUGAAUGCGCACUUUGUUCAUCGACUUGAUUGUAACUUAUCGAAGCAGAAUAUGGACUGUUCAACAGGGUCCAUUGAGGCCUAGGCAAGUGAUCCAGAAUGUUCUAGUUUUUGAAUAUCAAUAAGCGGAGGGUUUGAUCAUGAAGGUGACGCCUUGGAAGGACCAGCGUUUUUGAAGAAUCCUCAUUCGAAAAUUCGAGUAAAAAGUCUGAGAUGUUUGGAAUGAUAUCUCUUGGACUUUCAGUUUUGAAUCGAUCGUUUCACUCGGUUUAAUACUUUUGCAGUGACGAAUAUGUCAUGUGAUGGGAUUUGAUCGGGUGUUGGGGAUGCUUUUAUGCAUUACCCAAUUUCAGGUCUGUUUCCGAAAACUGAAAUAACAAUUCUCUUUUGGGAGGAAAUAAACUAAGAAAGUCGAAACAUCCACGUAACUAUUUUAUCAAUUGUUAAAUUUUGUUCCAGAAAGAUAACAAAAUAAACCUAAAACCAGGUGAUUGAAAACAUCUGGAUUCUACUUUUUAUUAUGAUUUCAUUUCAUUUGUUAAAUCAUCAAAAACUAUUCUGUGUUAUUAAAACACACAUAAUGAAAUUGUCGAACCGAUUGCGGCUCCAAAUAAAUUCUAGAAUGACAAGCGUUGUGAAUAGAAACUGCACCUCAACGACCGGAGAAAGGUCAAUAGGCUGGACUGUAACCGCAGGAACAGAACCGGACAAUGUUGUUCCCAAUUUUCGAAAGAUGAUUCACAUCAGAAUACCUGGGUUUUCUAAAGCCUUUCAGUUCCCUUCGCGGUUGAGCCUUGUUUCUCGACUCAGGUGCAAGAUUCUCGUCGCCAUUACUUCCUCCGCCAGCUCUGUGUUGAGGUUUCUGUGUCAUUUGCUUAAACGCUGUAGGGUCCUGGUCUUCGAAGCCAGUAGGUCGAAGUAGGGGCUACAGCAGAUGUGUGUGAUUCGAUCUCUGAGUUGCAAAAUGUGCGCUCAUAUAUUUUGUGGGCACUUGCACCCAGUGUUGGAAUUUAGGGUUUUGGUGCAACAGGGCAGGAGAAUGGGAGAAUGAGAGAAAUGGAUGCUGUAGAAGUUUAUUGAAGUUGUUUGCGCGGAGGCAGCACCAUGGACUGCGCCGGAGGCCACUUGCGGGGUUCAUGUUCAGGUCCUGCUACUUUGCGCUGCGGCGCUUGUGGAGCUAUUCGCUAUUGUUCUCGGAAGCACCAGAAAGCUCACUGGGAUGAGCACGCCCUAGUGUGCAGCAGAAUGGCGCACCAGAUGCAGCUGGCGCCUGUUCUGUACGACUUCCCUUUCGCCUACACGCACCACACCACUCGGUUGAUUGAAACGCAGGAGACCUCCCUUUGUCUUCUGCUGGAGUCGUGGGAUGUUCACGGCGAAGGCCUGUGGGCAGCGUCUUGUGGCUGCUUUCAACUCGCCACAUCACAGAGAAGUCGCGGUAAGGAUGUUGAUUGGAGAUUACCCACCGAUUUCUGUCCCUGUAAAGCUCCAGAGGGUUCACCGGCACAGCACUUGCAGAGCUGGGAGGAAUACUACAAUUGGCGAGGAAUUUCGUUCGAGUCACCAGCAGCCCUAAUCUUGACCUGGCCUUUGUCUUUGUACCACGCCGUCUGCUUAGCUCAGUCGCAAACAAUCUGUUCCAGACCUCGAGAAACCUUGCUUAUUCACUAUUUGGGUCCAGAAAAGGAGUUGGAGCAGCUGCCCGCUUUUGUAGAGCUGCUAGCGCUGCUUCCCGCAGUCGAAAUUCACAUAGAUUUCGUUGGCCCCGCAGUAUCGAAGUCGGCAGAUAGGGAAACUCAUACAUUCUCUGCCUUUGCUCAUUGCUCCGACUUGGAGUGUGCAUGCAAGAAAAAGGGCAUGGAUUCGAAUCCGAAGGGUCUUGUUACAACGAGAUUGUGGAGGGGUUUUUACCACGAUCGACAUGCAGAGUUAGGCAGAAACCCUGAUCUCAUUUUUGCAGCCAACGCAGGUAUUGCUGCCUUCCCGAGCUGGCAUCCUACUCUUGAAUUGAUAGUGUCUCUCAAUGUGCCGGCUCUUUUCACAGAUUACUGUGAGGAGGCAGCAGUUUUAGCUACAGAGACGAUCCAUCAUGUCAUCCGGGGAAAACACCCUGAUCUUGAAUUUCCUGUGCAAGUUAAUCCGUUCAGGCAGCCAUUGAGUCCCACCAACAAGGAUUUGGACCUCCCCACAUUCUCAAAUGCCUUCGUGUUCGGAAUCCAUGGCCCUUCGAAUGCCCGCAUGAGCCAGGAAACCCUUCCAAACCCACCAUAAACUCGUUCUGUCUCCGAAAGGUUUAACCUUCGAGUUGUAUUACAUGUAGCGGAACUUGUGCAGGGCUUUGCCACAUGAUACAUCCUGCCUGAAACGAAUGGUGUGGGUGAACCGAACAAGCUCAAGCUCAUGCAACAGCCUGCACAAGCUUGCUCUGGUAUGAAAUCCCACUUCCAAUUAUUCUCUUCGUGUCAGGAGCUCCUCUGCCAUCGUAUUGAAUGUACUGAUGCUCACCUGCGAUGUAAAGCUUCUGACCAAGGCAUGUGAUUCUCUGCCUUGGGGCUGCUCUUUGCUUUGCUUCUUCCCCAUUUUGCUGAGCUCCGAUCAUGCUCGUACACUCCAAGUCGUUUUUGUUCGAGAUGAAUGAAUGAUCUGGGUAUCGUCCCGGGUUUGCUGAAAGCAAAGCACUGGAUUUAAUUAGCGUCUUCAACUGUGGGUAAUUACUGCCAAUGGAACCUUGUUUUUUUGUGAUUGCAUAUCAUCAGAUAUUGUACACUAAACCUGAAAAUCUGCCAUGUAAAUAAUUUGGAACUCGCGUAUAAACUGAGGUUGUAGUUAAUGCUGUCAUUUUUUAUCCGGACAUGCAUAUCUAUGCAAAUACCAUGCAUUUUUUUACAACUUCAGUCUCAAUGGGGGGAGUUGAAUGACGUGGGUACACAACCAUGCAUAAGAAUCAUGUCGAGGAAGGUUUUGAUCCGAUCCGAUUUAAAGCAGCAUGAUAAAAAUGAGGAAAAGCAUGUCGAUACCCCAGUUCGGAAAUCAUUAAAAUUGCAUUCCGUAAUUUGCAUAAAUCAUGAGUCAAUCCAAGGAUGAACCAACCAGUACAUUUUUGCCUGUGAAAAAAGGCUUCACACACCCUUCGAGAGAUCCAUUCCUCAGGGCUGGAAACUCCGAAGACAAACACGCUCU